UAGUAGUUUUAAUAAUAAAUGGUUCAGUUAGACGAUCCUCAUGUUUGUUUGAAUGUUGGUGAUUUGGCUUCAGUGAAUCUGUGAUGUUUUUCUUAUGCAUGUGAUUUUAGAUUGUGGAUUUGUGGAUAUGGUUUUAUAGAUAUUCAGUUUAUGCAUUUAUGUCCUUAUGUAUUGUGGUUUUCUACCCCUCGAGGUAGUCGGUUUUCAAAAUAGAGUUUUCGAGUGGGGAAACAGUUUUAAAAAGAUUUUCAAAUGGUUUUCAUGAAUGAAUGAAUUAGAGUUUAAAAACAAAAGCUUCCGUGUGGGGAGCAUUUUUAAAUAGGAUGUUUGUUGUAUUGUGCAUUGCAUCAUUCAGCGCCUAAGGAGUGCUUAGAGGCAUCCAUCUUCUCUAAGGAUCGUUAGCUGUAUAAAAAUGCAUAUCAUGAAUUGGUUGUUGAUUGGUAAAUGUAGGUUGUGGUUGAGAUCCUGUUGUAUAGUUGGUACGCCGUGCAAAUACAAAAGAG
Molecule: long non-coding RNA, 503 nt
Filed under: Ananas comosus (pineapple)
Lineage: Eukaryota; Viridiplantae; Streptophyta; Magnoliopsida; Poales; Bromeliaceae
Description: long non-coding RNA (ACOM_LNC019800)
Source: RNAcentral